Molecule: non-coding RNA, 29 nt
Filed under: Rattus norvegicus (Norway rat)
Lineage: Eukaryota; Metazoa; Chordata; Mammalia; Rodentia; Muridae
Source: RNAcentral
UGAUGAGGUAUAUUAUUUUUCAGGAAGCU